RNAcentral lists this ribosomal RNA (245 nucleotides) under uncultured bacterium. Its description in RNAcentral is "partial 16S ribosomal RNA". It matches the Rfam family "Bacterial small subunit ribosomal RNA", at positions 57 to 305 of the family's 1533-position model. The record is from RNAcentral.
GCAAGUCGAGGGGUAGUAAUCUUCGGAUAAUGAGACCGGCGCACGGGUGCGUAACGCGUAUGCAAUCUACCUUGUACAGAGGGAUAGCCCAGAGAAAUUUGGAUUAAUACCUCAUAGUAUAUUUGAAUCGCAUGGUUUAAAUAUUAAAGAUUUAUCGGUACAAGAUGAGCAUGCGUCCCAUUAGUUAGUUGGUAAGGUAACGGCUUACCAAGACAAUGAUGGGUAGGGGUCCUGAGAGGGAGAUC